This 371-nucleotide ribosomal RNA is filed under the name uncultured organism. Its description in RNAcentral is "bacterial SSU rRNA". It matches the Rfam family "Bacterial small subunit ribosomal RNA", at positions 526 to 896 of the family's 1533-position model. The record is from RNAcentral.
CGGAGGGUGCAAGCAUUGAUCGGAAUUACUGGGCGUAAAGGGCGCGUAGGCGGCUUUUCAAGUUAGAUGUGAAAUUCCGGGGCUCAACCCCGGAGCUGCAUUUGAAACUAAAGAGCUAGUGGCUAGUAAGGGAAAACAGAAUUCCACGUGUAGCGGUGAAAUGCGUAGAUAUGUGGAAGAAUACCGGUGGUGAAGACGGUUUUCUGUGCUAAGCCAGACGCUGAGGCGCGAAAGCUAGGGGAGCAAACAGGAUUAGAUACCCUGGUAGUCCUAGCCGUAAACGAUGUAUACUGGAUGUAGGAAGGCUCAACCCUUUCUGUAUCGGAGCUACGCGUUAAGUAUACCGCCUGGGGAGUACGCUCGCAAGGGUG